ACCCGCUGAAUUUAAGCAUAUAAGUAAGCGGAGGAUAAGAAACUAAAUAGGAUUCCCUCAGUAAUGGCGAAUGAACAGGGAUAUGCUCAAGAUGGAAACCGGGGCUUUAUAGCUUUGGAUUGUAAUCUCAGGAUAUGUUGCUAACAGAACUGCAGGUGUAAUGCUCUUGGAAAAGAGAACCAUCGAGGGUGAGAGUCCCGUUUGGCAUUUGCUUGUUUCUGUAUACGGCAUGUAUUCUACGAGUCACGUUCCUCGGGAUUGGAGCGCAAAAUGGGUGGUAAAUUUCAUCUCAAGCUAAAUACGAGUUCGAGCCCGAUAGCAAACAAGUACCAUGAGGGAAAGAUGAAAAGGACUUUGAAAAGAGAGUUAAAAGUGCCUGAACUUGCUGCAAAGAAAGCGGAUUGAACCAGUCAGUCUUGGUGAGAUUGUUGUGUACUAUUGUAAGUUGCUGCAGCAGAAGCGUAAGCGCUGUUGUGGUUCACGAACUUGUGUGCGUAAUGUUUCUUGCCAAGCGAGUCACCAGUUGCGUGAGGGUGAUGACAACUUAAGGUAACUGGUAGCAGGUUUUCGGACUUGUGAAUGUAUCUUAUGGAAGUCAUUUUCAUGCUUCGUGUGUUGUGUUGUUGUCUUUGACAUUCACAGCCUG
Molecule: ribosomal RNA, 646 nt
Filed under: Chytriodinium sp. Atlantic
Lineage: Eukaryota; Dinophyceae; Coccidiniales; Chytriodiniaceae
Description: eukaryotic LSU rRNA
Rfam family: Eukaryotic large subunit ribosomal RNA
Source: RNAcentral